Molecule: ribosomal RNA, 874 nt
Filed under: uncultured eukaryote
Lineage: Eukaryota
Description: SSU rRNA
Rfam family: Eukaryotic small subunit ribosomal RNA
Source: RNAcentral
GCGGUAAUUCCAGCUCCAAUAGCGUAUAUUAAAGUUGUUGCAGUUAAAACGCUCGUAGUCGGAUUUCGGGGCGGGGCGACCGGUCUGCCGAUGGGUAUGCACUGGUCGGCGCGUCCUUCCUUCCGGAGACCGUUCCUACUCUUAACUGAGCGGGGACGGGAGACGGAUCGUUUACUUUGAAAAAAUCAGAGUGUUUCAAGCAGGCAGCUCGCUUUGCAUGGAUUAGCAUGGGAUAAUGAAAUAGGACUUUGGUGCUAUUUUGUUGGUUUCGAACACCGAAGUAAUGAUUAAUAGGGACAGUCAGGGGCACUCGUAUUCCGCCGAGAGAGGUGAAAUUCUCAGACCAGCGGAAGACGAACCACUGCGAAAGCAUUUGCCAGGGAUGUUUUCACUGAUCAAGAACGAAAGUUAGGGGAUCGAAGACGAUCAGAUACCGUCGUAGUCUUAACCAUAAACCAUGCCGACUAGGGAUCGGAGGAUGUUCACUAAUUGACUCCUUCGGCACCUUACGGGAAACUAAAGUCUUUGGGUUCCGGGGGGAGUAUGGUCGCAAGGCUGAAACUUAAAGGAAUUGACGGAAGGGCACCACCAGGAGUGGAGCCUGCGGCUUAAUUUGACUCAACACGGGGAAACUUACCAGGUCCAGACAUUGUGAGGAUUGACAGAUUGAGAGCUCUUUCUUGAUUCGAUGGGUGGUGGUGCAUGGCCGUUCUUAGUUGGUGGAGUGAUUUGUCUGGUUAAUUCCGUUAACGAACGAGACCGUUGCCUAUUAAAUAGUGACGCGAACACUUCGUUCGUGGCGCACUUCUUAGAGGGACAACUUGUUUUCAACAAGUGGAAGUUAGCGGCAAUAACAGGUCUGUGCUGCCCAAGG